RNAcentral lists this ribosomal RNA (432 nucleotides) under Kodamaea ohmeri. RNAcentral's name for it is "eukaryotic LSU rRNA". The stretch from base 133 to 284 matches the Rfam family "5.8S ribosomal RNA". The record is from RNAcentral. Lineage: Eukaryota; Fungi; Ascomycota; Pichiomycetes; Serinales; Debaryomycetaceae.
UGGAAGUAAAAAGCGUAACAAGGUUUCCGUAGGUGAACCUGCGGAAGGAUCAUUAACAUUAAUUUACUACACACUGUUUUUUUACAACAAAACAAAUCUAUCUAAAAACAAUUCUUUACAAGAAAUUCUUAAAACUUUCAACAACGGAUCUCUUGGUUCUCGCAUCGAUGAAGAACGCAGCGAAAUGCGAUACGUAAUACGAAUCGCAGCUCUCGGAAUCAUCGAAUCUUUGAACGCACAUUGCACCAUUGGGUAUUCCCAAUGGUAUGCUUGUUUGAGCGAAUACUUCCCUAAUCCUCACGGAUUGUAUUGUGUUUGCACGAAAAUAAUGACGACAGUACUCUACAAAACGGUACCGUCAGUACACUCAUUUUUUUUCCUCAAAUCAAGUAGGACUACCCGCUGAACUUAAGCAUAUCAAAAGGGCGGAGG